Molecule: long non-coding RNA, 351 nt
Organism: Mytilus trossulus (common blue mussel)
Lineage: Eukaryota; Metazoa; Mollusca; Bivalvia; Mytilida; Mytilidae
Exons: 3
Source: RefSeq, a predicted model, not a curated record
AAAAGGGUAUGAUUAUCGGAUAUUUCCACUUGAGUAAACUGUAAGAUAUUUCCAAAAGGAAAUCCACUGUCUAUUUAAAACGUUAAGGUUCCAACAUGAUAGUUUCGUUAGAAAUUGUUCUUAUACUCCUAGUAAAUCUGUAUAGUCAAAAUGAAUGUGCGAAAAACAACGAAACUACUUCAAAUAUGUACUUUAGCAACACUUAUACUACACCAAUGAUUACCGGAAACAACACAUCUAGUUCAAAUACUACAACUUCUACCGAAUCGUUUCUGGAUAACAAUGCCGUUACAAUACCUGAUACAGAAAGUAACGAUCCAAAUACAACAACUUCUGCAUUGAACAACGAUC